Non-coding RNA from Marchantia polymorpha subsp. ruderalis, 188 nucleotides. The record is from the annotation of a GenBank genome assembly. Lineage: Eukaryota; Viridiplantae; Streptophyta; Marchantiopsida; Marchantiales; Marchantiaceae.
ACGUGAUUAGAUUUGACAUCGAGAUGAGAAGAAAAUGUGCUAUUUCCUCACAAAUUGUUAUUAUUUUCACACAUUCUCUAAACAUCAACACAAAUCUUGAUUUUACAAUUUGCAUGACAAUAACAACAUUUUGUGUGGAAAUAGCACUUUGUAUAAUUUAUCAUCUUACUGUUUUUAUUUGACCAUGU